AUUGUUACAGAGAAAAAGCGGGGCCAAAUGAAACGUGAUGGUCUAUGAUUCACAAUGAAAAGUGGUAAAGGAGAGGCGAGACCAUGGCAUAUAACAGGGAAAUAAUUAGUUGAAUUAGAAGAGAAUGGUAGGAACAACAAUGAUUUACAUGAACUCUUGAGUAAUUGUUACAGACAUUGUUAAGAUUCGAUCUAUAUUUAAAUGGGGUUCUGAAAGUUGUUUUACUUUACCUUCCAGACUCAGGUUGGCUGUGCUUGAUACUUGGCCUACAGCAUUACUAGCAACAAACGUCUUCUUCCUUUGGUGAACUGAAUGAGGCACCAGGAUACACAUGAACUGCCACUGGACAUGAACUGCACACAAUAAGUGAGUUAACAGAAACCCGGCAUUGAAAACGGGCUGGCUGCCCUUCAGAAGUGACAGUGUCCUGAAGCGGGGUGAUGAUGGCAGGUGGAUAAACAGGCAUUUCCUGAUCAGGAGACACAACUUCUGGAACUAAAGAAAGAAACCACAAGAUUUGUCAUGAUUAAGUCACCAUAGAGACCUCACAGAAGGGAGCAUGACAUCAAUUCCAGAGUGGGACAGCUCAACCUCAAACACCACAUUUUGAGUUUCUGUACAGGUUGUCUUUUUCCCGUCGAUGACAAAGCUGUAUUCUCCCUGGUCCUCCUUGGUUACAUCCUUGACCGUGAGGUUCUGACGUCCACGACGAGAU
Homo sapiens (human) is the source of this 715-nucleotide long non-coding RNA. Ensembl annotates it as TTN antisense RNA 1. Its record names the gene TTN-AS1. The record is from Ensembl. Lineage: Eukaryota; Metazoa; Chordata; Mammalia; Primates; Hominidae.